This 497-nucleotide ribosomal RNA is filed under the name uncultured bacterium. Its description in RNAcentral is "partial 16S ribosomal RNA". It matches the Rfam family "Bacterial small subunit ribosomal RNA", at positions 28 to 507 of the family's 1533-position model. The record is from RNAcentral.
GAUGAACGCUGGCGGCGUGCCUAAUACAUGCAAGUCGAGCGAACAGAUAAGGAGCUUGCUCCUUUGACGUUAGCGGCGGACGGGUGAGUAACACGUGGAUAACCUACCUAUAAGACUGGGAUAACUUCGGGAAACCGGAGCUAAUACCGGAUAACAUAUUGAACCGCAUGGUUCAAUAGUGAAAGGCGGCUUUGCUGUCACUUAUAGAUGGAUCCGCGCCGUAUUAGCUAGUUGGUAAGGUAACGGCUUACCAAGGCAACGAUACGUAGCCGACCUGAGAGGCUGAUCGGCCACACUGGAACGAAGACACGGUCCAGACUCCUACGGGAGGCAGCAGUAGGGAAUCUUCCGCAAUGGGCGAAAGCCUGACGGAGCAACGCCGCGUGAGUGAUGAAGGUCUUCGGAUCGUAAAACUCUGUUAUCAGGGAAGAACAAAUGUGUAAGUAACUGUGCACAUCUUGACGGUACCUGAUCAGAAAGCCACGGCUAACUACGUG